RNAcentral lists this ribosomal RNA (447 nucleotides) under uncultured bacterium. RNAcentral's name for it is "SSU rRNA". It matches the Rfam family "Bacterial small subunit ribosomal RNA", at positions 26 to 518 of the family's 1533-position model. The record is from RNAcentral.
AGAAUGAACGCUGGCGGCAUGCCUAACACAUGCAAGUCGAACGAGACCUUCGGGUCUAGUGGCGCACGGGUGCGUAACGCGUGGGAAUCUGCCCUUGGGUUCGGAAUAACAGUGAGAAAUUACUGCUAAUACCGGAUAAUGACGUAAGUCCAAAGAUUUAUCGCCCAAGGAUGAGCCCGCGUAAGAUUAGCUAGUUGGUGGGGUAAAGGCCUACCAAGGCGACGAUCUUUAGCUGGUCUGAGAGGAUGAUCAGCCACACUGGGACUGAGACACGGCCCAGACUCCUACGGGAGGCAGCAGUGGGGAAUAUUGGACAAUGGGCGAAAGCCUGAUCCAGCAAUGCCGCGUGAGUGAUGAAGGCCUUAGGGUUGUAAAGCUCUUUUACCCGGGAAGAUAAUGACUGUACCGGGAGAAUAAGCCCCGGACUAACUCCGCGCCAGCAGCCGC